Non-coding RNA from Triticum aestivum (bread wheat), 115 nucleotides. Lineage: Eukaryota; Viridiplantae; Streptophyta; Magnoliopsida; Poales; Poaceae. The record is from Rfam.
CUUGUACUCCCUCCGUCCGAAAACACUUGUCAUUGAAAUGGAUGUAUCUAGAUGUAUUUUAGUUCCAGACACAUCCAUUUUGAUGACAAGUAAUUCUGGACAGAGGGAGUACUUG